This 218-nucleotide ribosomal RNA is filed under the name uncultured Staphylococcus sp. Its description in RNAcentral is "partial 16S ribosomal RNA". It matches the Rfam family "Bacterial small subunit ribosomal RNA", at positions 122 to 334 of the family's 1533-position model. Lineage: Bacteria; Bacillati; Bacillota; Bacilli; Caryophanales; Staphylococcaceae. The record is from RNAcentral.
UAACCUACCUAUAAGACUGGGAUAACUUCGGGAAACCGGAGCUAAUACCGGAUAAUAUAUUGAACCGCAUGGUUCAAUAGUGAAAGACGGUUUUGCUGUCACUUAUAGAUGGAUCCGCGCCGCAUUAGCUAGUUGGUAAGGUAACGGCUUACCAAGGCAACGAUGCGUAGCCGACCUGAGAGGGUGAUCGGCCACACUGGAACUGAGACACGGUCCAG